RNAcentral lists this ribosomal RNA (465 nucleotides) under Vreelandella stevensii. Its description in RNAcentral is "partial 16S ribosomal RNA". It matches the Rfam family "Bacterial small subunit ribosomal RNA", at positions 338 to 795 of the family's 1533-position model. The record is from RNAcentral. Lineage: Bacteria; Pseudomonadati; Pseudomonadota; Gammaproteobacteria; Oceanospirillales; Halomonadaceae.
CCUACGGGAGGCUGCAGUGGGGAAUAUUGGACAAUGGGGGGAACCCUGAUCCAGCCAUGCCGCGUGUGUGAAGAUGGCCCUCGGGUUGUAAAGCACUUUCAGUGAGGAAGAACGCCUGGUGGUUAAUACCCAUCAGGAAAGACAUCACUCACAGAAGAAGCACCGGCUAACUCCGUGCCAGCAGCCGCGGUAAUACGGAGGGUGCGAGCGUUAAUCGGAAUUACUGGGCGUAAAGCGCGCGUAGGUGGCUUGAUAAGCCGGUUGUGAAAGCCCCGGGCUCAACCUGGGAACGGCAUCCGGAACUGUCAAGCUAGAGUGCAGGAGAGGAAGGUAGAAUUCCCGGUGUAGCGGUGAAAUGCGUAGAGAUCGGGAGGAAUACCAGUGGCGAAGGCGGCCUUCUGGACUGACACUGACACUGGGGUGCGAAAGCGUGGGUAGCAAACAGGAUUAGAUACCCUUGUAGUC